RNAcentral lists this long non-coding RNA (1229 nucleotides) under Hordeum vulgare. RNAcentral's name for it is "long non-coding RNA (HVUL_LNC020282)". The record is from RNAcentral. Lineage: Eukaryota; Viridiplantae; Streptophyta; Magnoliopsida; Poales; Poaceae.
GAAAUACAAAAAAUAUGGGCCAUCGUAAGUAACAUUUCUAUAAAAUGUGUCUAGUCCAUAAGUGUGGAUAAAAUAGUCAUUUGCUCUAGUACUAAUCGUCCAAAAUAGGGAAUUUUUUUCAUUUUCUAACAAAAAUACCAGAGGUUGAGAAAGUUAUUCUCAUACUUCUCUUAUGGCUUCCUUGCCUGAUCUACCAACAUGAUUCACAGAAGGUGUUGGGGGCCACAAUGUAAAUCCCCGAAAUUAGAGAAGGCAUAUGCACGUGGUGAUGGAGUGAUGCCUUAUGUGACGAUGUCGCAGUGUAAGGGUUAAGGAAAGGCACAUCAAUGACUGAAGGCAGAUGCAUAGUUGAUGGGUGAGCGUGCAUCACAAGCAACAAUUCGGUAGAGAUAUUACCGAGUAGAAUGCCUACAAGUGUGCCACUUACCUGAUGAGGGGAUGGUGUGGCUUGGGUGGAGAAAAGGAGAACGACAAUGCAAUGGUGGUGGAGCCGUAAGUGUUGGGGAGUGGGACAACUCAAGUACGUGUUGGUAAAUUACCAUAAAUAGUUUUAUCUAUCAACUACAACAUCAUUCAUUUGUUCUCAACCACCCUACGUGUUCGGUAUGUAUAUAUAUACGUGCAUAGGUCGAAGCUACCCUCGCUAUGUCACAUUAUUAUAUAACAGUUCUAGUCUACCUCUUCUAAAUCGCUUGCUAUAGCAACAUAGAGGUUGCAAAAUCACAUGUUUAAUUACAAGUAGGCUAUCUCUUGCUCUAUACUGUAGAUGAAACAUAGGCACAAGUUCACUUGGAAUGAGCGGCAUUCGGAAAGUACAUGGAACUCGUUUGCUUCCUCAUGCGACCAACACAUCUGUGGUCUCUACCAGAUCUAUUGCAAACUCGUUCGACUUGUGUGAUUUCUUGUCACAAAAUAGUGCUCUCACACGCAAUUGUACGUGCAACCAUCACCUCCCAAAUCUAAGAUUUAAGUCGAUUUCUUCAUGUUGAGAAGAGGAAGCUGGACCGGUACAUGAAGGGCGAUGAUUUCGUUGUCAGGAGUGAUGUCGUCAUGGUGAAGGAGAUAUUCACCAAGCAGGACGGUGAAUAAAAAUAACAAGGGGUAUUUGUUAUUUUUACCAAGGGGUGUUGGUAUCAUCAUUGUUAUUUUUACCAAGUGGAUCUGUAAAAUUUCGUUCAAAAAAGUUAUUUUUUGCAAGGUGCAUCAAAAUAACAAAAAUCCGGCCCAAC